GCCGCUGUAGUGUAGCCUGGUUAGCAUAAGUGACUGUGGAUCUCUAGGUCGUGGGUUCGAAUCCCACCGGCGGCCCCA
This 78-nucleotide transfer RNA is filed under the name Nitrososphaerales archaeon. Its description in RNAcentral is "tRNA-His". It matches the Rfam family "tRNA". From Rfam's summary of the family: Transfer RNA (tRNA) molecules are approximately 80 nucleotides in length. Their secondary structure includes four short double-helical elements and three loops (D, anti-codon, and T loops). Further hydrogen bonds mediate the characteristic L-shaped molecular structure. tRNAs have two regions of fundamental functional importance: the anti-codon, which is responsible for specific mRNA codon recognition, and the 3' end, to which the tRNAs corresponding amino acid is attached (by aminoacyl-tRNA synthetases). tRNAs cope with the degeneracy of the genetic code in two manners: having more than one tRNA (with a specific anti-codon) for a particular amino acid; and 'wobble' base-pairing, i.e. permitting non-standard base-pairing at the 3rd anti-codon position. Lineage: Archaea; Thermoproteati; Nitrososphaerota; Nitrososphaeria; Nitrososphaerales. The record is from RNAcentral.